This is a long non-coding RNA of Peromyscus californicus insignis, 2679 nucleotides long. RefSeq lists it as uncharacterized. The record is from RefSeq and is a predicted model, not a curated record. Lineage: Eukaryota; Metazoa; Chordata; Mammalia; Rodentia; Cricetidae. The transcript is spliced from 4 exons.
CUGACUCAAAGGGUGGUGCCCCGCCUAGGUCAAGGAGGUGGGUUUCCAAACAUCACAAGACCGCUUGGCGAGGUUAGUCACCACGCCUGGUGGCACCUCUAGUGCAUAAAGUUAGCUAAAUCCAUGGUUUAUCGACUUUCAAAAAUGUUGCUUGUUUGGGCUGGAGAGAUGGCUUAGAGGUUAAGAGCACUGGCUGCUUUUACAGAGGACCCAGGUUCCGUUCCCAGCACCUGUAAGAGUUGACUGAUUGAUGAACCAAAGGAAAAGAAUCAGAACGCCACGUGCUGGUGCAACCGAAAAUGAGGAGAAGACUGACCACCUUGUCCAUCUCACCUUGGGAAUUUGAUCUGUACACCGUCCGUCCUGUUCUUGGGAUCAUGUUAGCGGCUCUUUGUGAAGGACAAGUAUCAUGGGGAUCAUCAGGAGCCACUUCUGGGAGAAGAGAAUGAGUGCAAUUGAUUCCAAUAGGGCAGAAGGUGGGGCUCCACCCCCUAUUGGUCAGAAGAGGAAGCCUGGGGUCCACUGUGAUUGCACAUAGCUAAGGAGAGCAGGAGUGGUUAGGGUAGAGGGUGGUACACCUCGCCUCACUCAGGGGACUCUGGCUGGCUAAGUGACUGAGGAGGAAAUGGGGCGCUGUGUUUGGCUAACAGAUUGCUUUGCUCUUUUUGGAUGACCUCACUUCCGCUACAGUGGAAGAGUGUGGAGUCCCUCUGGCACAGGGCAGACCCUCUUUAGAGCCUACUGCAGGAUGGUGGGGCAAACAUGCCUCCUUCCAUUCAGCAGGAGCAAAGGAGGCCAUAUUUUGAUAAUGACAUGAUUCCCAGGAAGGUUAAUCUGAGACAGCAUUGUCUGAACUUGCUGGUUUCUUCGGACUUAUCAUGAAGUCCAUCUGUGACUUAAUGAAACUUUACAGGAGAGAGUCCAAGCACUGGUCUAGGGAAAGUGCCAAAGAUGACUCUUACAUGAAGAACACUCUGGAAAGUUUUCACCUCAAAUAAUGAUCCUCUACCUUUUUGAUUGUCAAUGUGGCAAAUACCAUGCUAAAUAAACAUUAACCAUGAUUUCUGUCAGGAGCCAUGCCUUCUUGAAAGGGACUUUCCAAACCUCUCCUAAAGACUGAAGGUCACCCCCACCACCACACUGUUGAUUGUUUUCUCUGAUUGACAGUCGCUGGUAUAAACUCUAGGCUAGAGGAAGAGAAGUCACUAACCAGCUAAAUAAUUAUAUUCUGUUUUUUUUUUUUAAAGAGAAUUAUUUUUCAAGGUGUUAGCGUGCCCGUGCAUUGUGUAUGGUGCACAUUUGUAGAGAGGCCAGCAAAGGACUCCAGCUGUCAUCCUCAGGAAUGCUAUGCACCUCUUUGGAGGUAGGGUCUCUCCUUGGCCUGGAUCUAUCUAUGCUAGACUAGGUGACCAGAGAGCCCAGGAGAAUCCUCCUGUGUCCUCUUCCCCAGUGCUGGGGUUACAAGUGUCCAUCUCCAUGCCUAGAUUUUCCAAUGUGGAUUCUGGGAAUCACGCUCGAAUCUACGAUGCUUGCAAGGCCAGCACUUCCUGACGGGGCAAUCCCUUGCAGCUCAUGUUUCUCAGAGGAUUCUGUUACUAGUUGUAAGUCUGUCUAUAGGAGGCCAGUCACCUUGCGCAGUGGAGUCUCCAGCUAUAAAACUGAAGUCAGCCUUCAGAUCGUGCUAUGCGCACCAGGAGAGCAAGUCCCUGUAGGCUCCUGAGGACACAGCCUGCCAGGGUUCUCCUCUUUGCCUCAGAGCUGGUUUCUAGUUGUUCCCCUAGCUUUGUUUCAACUAGAAACUCACACACGUACCCCCUCCUCCACACGGUUUAUUCCGCCACGAUUGAUGACCUUCCACCUUCUGUCAGCGCACCUUUCCUAAAGAGACUGGAGAUGCAAAUUAAAGCAGGCUUUUUUAAAAGUGUGUGAAGAUGGACGGCCUUCCUGGAAGAUUCUAAUGUACACACCCAGACCUGAGUGUCCCGCUGGUGGCUGAAGUGGGAAUGCCUAGUGAGAAGUGUGCCAAGUUGGUUUGUGCAUCCACACUGGUUCUGUUAUGAAGGAGUGGUAAUAAUUACACAGUGCUGUGCUUUCUGUAAGAAAGAGUCCAGGCGAUGGCCUCAAGCAUGUAAUAAAUCCUCCAUCAAUUAUCUUUACAACUUCCUAGUACUGUACUUAAAUAUGAUCAUGGAUAAAAAGCCGAUAAAGGGUGAGUCAUAACGGACUAAAUCUUUGACUUCUCUGCAGCCUCUUCAGCAGUCUUAGUCCUUUCUGUGUCUUCAAACAGUGGCCAUUAUAGUCUAUAUCACAAAUAUGGUCUAUAAAUUCAACAUGGAACAACACCUUGCAUUUAUACUAAUGGUGUUGCUGAAAAGAAUCCAGAGCCUUUCAGGGGCCAUUAACUCAUUUAUCAUACCUAUACAUGUCUUCUUGAAUUAAGCUUCUAUGGCUCCCUAGUUUGCGUUUGGUAUUUAGUGUCAAGUGCUUAUAGAUUCAGAAGAAAGUAGUUGUCUGUCAUUCUUUUUAAAAUAUUUUCUUUUAUGCUCUUAAAAUUCAAUGUUUUCAAUUUAAUUUCUCAAUGCUAUGCUCCACCCACUACACAAUCCCAGAUGACAGGCUUAUUUUCUCCACCCUCAUCCCAUCUUCAUUGUUUUUUCUUUAAAUUGUGUGCAUGUGUGA